AGAGUUUGAUCAUGGCUCAGGACGAACGCUGGCGGCGUGCUUAAGACAUGCAAGUCGUACGAGAAAGCCUCUUCGGAGGUGAGUAAAGUGGCGCACGGGUGAGUAACACGUGGGUAAUCUGCCCUUAGGUUUGGGAUAACCCCGGGAAACCGGAGCUAAUACCGAAUGAGACCACGACGACCUCGGUUGAUGUGGGAAAAGAUGGCCUCUUCUUGAAAGCUAUCGCCAAAGGAUGAGCCCGCGGUUGAUUAGCUUGUUGGUGAGGUAACGGCUCACCAAGGCUCCGAUCAAUAGCUGGUCUGAGAGGAUGAUCAGCCACACUGGAACUGAGACACGGUCCAGACUCCUACGGGAGGCAGCAGUCGGGAAUAUUGGGCAAUGGGCGAAAGCCUGACCCAGCAACGCCGCGUGAAGGAUGAAGGCCCUAGGGUCGUAAACUUCUGUCGAGAGGGAAGAAUGCCUGCGGGUAAACAAUCCGUAGGUUUGACGGUACCUCCAAAGGAAGCACCGGCUAACUCCGUGCCAGCAGCCGCGGUAAUACGGAGGGUGCAAGCGUUGUUCGGAUUUAUUGGGCGUAAAGCGAGUGUAGGCGGUUUGGCAAGUCGGAUGUGAAAUCCCAGGGCCCAACCCUGGAACUGCAUCCGAUACUGUCAGGCUAGAAUUCCGGAGAGGGUGGCGGAAUUCCCGGUGUAGGGGUGAAAUCCGUAGAUAUCGGGAGGAACACCAGUGGCGAAGGCGGCCACCUGGACGGUAAUUGACGCUGAGACUCGAAAGCGUGGGUAGCAAACAGGAUUAGAUACCCUAGUAGUCC
RNAcentral lists this ribosomal RNA (811 nucleotides) under uncultured bacterium. Its description in RNAcentral is "bacterial SSU rRNA". It matches the Rfam family "Bacterial small subunit ribosomal RNA", at positions 8 to 796 of the family's 1533-position model. The record is from RNAcentral.